GAUGAAGAACGCAGCGAAAUGCGAUAAGUAAUGUGAAUUGCAGAAUUCAGUGAAUCAUCGAAUCUUUGAACGCACAUUGCGCCCCUUGGUAUUCCGAGGGGCAUGCCUGUUCGAGCGUCAUUAUAACCCCUCAAGCUCAGCUUGGUGUUGGUGCCUGCUGCACUGGCAGCCCUUAAAAUCAGUGGCGGCGCCAUCUGGCUCUAAGCGUAGUAAUUCUUCUCGCUAUGGAGUCCUGGUGGAUGCUUGCCAUCAACCCCCAAUUUUUCUAUGGUUGACCUCGGAUCAGGUAGGGAUACCCGCUGAACUUAAGCAUAUCAAUAAGCGGAGGA
RNAcentral lists this unclassified non-coding RNA (329 nucleotides) under soil metagenome. RNAcentral describes it as "partial contains 5.8S ribosomal RNA, internal transcribed spacer 2, and large subunit ribosomal RNA". The stretch from base 1 to 120 matches the Rfam family "5.8S ribosomal RNA", at positions 35 to 154 of the family's 154-position model. The record is from RNAcentral.